CCAAUAGCGUAUAUUAAAGUUGUUGCAGUUAAAAAGCUCGUAGUUGAAUUUCGGGAUCAAUUUACUGGUCGUGCAAUAGUACGUACUGGUUUUAUUGGUUCCUCCCUUCUGACGAACCUUGAUGCCAUUAAUUUGGUGUCUUGGGAAAUCAGGACUGUUACUUUGAAAAAAUUAGAGUGUUUAAAGCAAGCUCACGCUUGAAUACAUUAGCAUGGAAUAA
RNAcentral lists this ribosomal RNA (220 nucleotides) under uncultured Glomus. RNAcentral describes it as "partial small subunit ribosomal RNA". It matches the Rfam family "Eukaryotic small subunit ribosomal RNA", at positions 591 to 817 of the family's 1831-position model. Lineage: Eukaryota; Fungi; Glomeromycota; Glomeromycetes; Glomerales; Glomeraceae. The record is from RNAcentral.